This 73-nucleotide transfer RNA is filed under the name Felis catus (domestic cat). It matches the Rfam family "tRNA". From Rfam's summary of the family: Transfer RNA (tRNA) molecules are approximately 80 nucleotides in length. Their secondary structure includes four short double-helical elements and three loops (D, anti-codon, and T loops). Further hydrogen bonds mediate the characteristic L-shaped molecular structure. tRNAs have two regions of fundamental functional importance: the anti-codon, which is responsible for specific mRNA codon recognition, and the 3' end, to which the tRNAs corresponding amino acid is attached (by aminoacyl-tRNA synthetases). tRNAs cope with the degeneracy of the genetic code in two manners: having more than one tRNA (with a specific anti-codon) for a particular amino acid; and 'wobble' base-pairing, i.e. permitting non-standard base-pairing at the 3rd anti-codon position. The record is from Rfam by way of RNAcentral. Lineage: Eukaryota; Metazoa; Chordata; Mammalia; Carnivora; Felidae.
GCCUGGCUGGCUCAGUUGGUGGGGCACGUGACUCUUGAUCUCGUGGUCGCGAGUUUAAGCCCCACGUUGGGUG